Non-coding RNA from Arachis ipaensis, 464 nucleotides. NCBI's taxonomy places the organism in Eukaryota, Viridiplantae, Streptophyta, Magnoliopsida, Fabales, Fabaceae. The record is from RefSeq and is a predicted model, not a curated record.
CUUCACUGCUUCUCCCUUGUUCUGCUUUGCUACUUCUGCUUCACUGGGUUGUGCUUCGCUGCUUCUGCUUUGCUGCUGCUGCUUCACUGCAUCGGCCGUUUGUGGAUUGUCAUCUGUGUUUGUCUCUUUAAAACCAGAAAAAGGGAAUCAAAUAGUGGGUCUCUCUGUAGCUGCGACUACCUUAGACAUUGAGUUACACUACAGAAUGAGUCAAGAUUUGAAGAGAAAAGAGACCACAAUUGAAGAUGAUGUUGAAGAGUGUGGCAGCUUGCAAGAAAGGCCAACUAAGAAGGGAAAAACACGUCAAUUUGCUUCAAUGCCGAUUGAUACUUUUCUUAAACUUAACAAUGAACCUGAUGGUGAAGAGCAAUUGGAUGAGAAUGAAGGAGAUAUUAUAGAGGAGCAGGACAAGGAUUAUAUUAAUCCAACUGAGGCUGAGAACAUAGAUAAUACUUUGAAAGGUA